UGGGGAAUAUUGCACAAUGGAGGGAACUCUGACGCAGCGACGCCGCGUGCGGGAUGAAGGCCUUCGGGUUGUAAACCGCUUUUGAUUGGGAGCAAGCUUUCGGGUGAGUGUACCUUUCGAAUAAGCGCCGGCUAACUACGUGCCAGCAGCCGCGGUAAUACGUAGGGCGCAAGCGUUAUCCGGAAUUAUUGGGCGUAAAGAGCUUGUAGGCGGUUCGUCGCGUCUGGUGUGAAAGCCCAUCGCUUAACGGUGGGUUUGCGCCGGGUACGGGCGGGCUAGAGUGCAGUAGGGGAGACUGGAAUUCCCGGUGUAACGGUGGAAUGUGUAGAUAUCGGGAAGAACACCAAUGGCGAAGGCAGGUCUCUGGGCUGUUACUGACGCUGAGAAGCGAAAGCGUGGGGAGCGAACAGG
Molecule: ribosomal RNA, 411 nt
Filed under: Verrucomicrobiota bacterium
Lineage: Bacteria; Pseudomonadati; Verrucomicrobiota
Description: Verrucomicrobia bacterium partial 16S ribosomal RNA
Rfam family: Bacterial small subunit ribosomal RNA
Source: RNAcentral